Molecule: non-coding RNA, 50 nt
Filed under: unclassified sequences
Description: Li+-I sequence
Rfam family: nhaA-I RNA
About the family: Acidobacteria, Alphaproteobacteria, Betaproteobacteria and Gammaproteobacteria, Verrucomicrobia, cand. division NC10. Downstream gene
Source: Rfam by way of RNAcentral
UGGUGCGGCGCUCGCGCGCCGCAGGCAUCGAGUAGGUCGGGCCGCCUACC